CACCCAACAGCUAGCCCCUCCCUCCAACUACAACAAGUCAACAUAGACUAACCCCAAAUACCCUCCCAUCCAUUAACCAAACCAUUUUUCCCCCUUAGUAUGGGCGACAGAAAAGGACCCAGGCGCCAUAGAAAAGUACCGCAAGGGAAAGCUGAAAGAGAAAUGAAAUAACCCAGUAAAGUACAAAAAAGCAGAGCUUAAGCCUCGUACCUUUUGCAUCAUGACCUAGCCAGUAAGCCCUGAGCAAAACGAAUUUUAGUUUAGACCCCCGAAACUAAGUGAGCUACUCCAAGACAGCCUAUAAGGGCGCACCCGUCUCUGUGGCAAAAGAGUGGGAAGAGCUUUGAGUAGAGGUGACAGACCUACCGAACUUAGUUAUAGCUGGUUGCCUAAGAACUGAAUAGAAGUUCAGCCUUUUAGCUUCUUCAACCCGACCUGAUUACAUCUCCCCCGGUCCAAAGAAAGCUAAAAGAGUUAGUCAAGAGGGGUACAGCCCUCUUGAAAGAGAUACAACUCUAACAAGCAGGUAAAAGAUCAAAAGAUAAAAGGCAUUACAUUCAAGUGGGCCUAAAAGCAGCCACCCUUAAAGAAAGCGUUAAAGCUUAAAUGUCUGCCACCCCCCCCCCCCAUCACGACGAAACCAUCUUAAACCUCUUAACCUAUUAGGCCUCCCUAUGCGAACAUAGGAGAGAAUAUGCUAGAAUGAGUAAUAAGAGGGCCCGACCCUCUCCUAGCACCCGUGUAUAUCAGAACGAACCCCCACUGAAAAUUAACGCCCCCAAUAAAAAGAGGGUAAUGAACCAAAAAACCCGUGAACCAGAAGCCCCUUCAUCAAACUAAGCGUUAACCCCACACAGGAGUGCCCCAGGAAAGACUAAAAGAAAAAGAAGGAACUCGGCAAACACUGGCCUCGCCUGUUUACCAAAAACAUCGCCUCUUGAACCCUCAAUACUAUAAGAGGUCCCGCCUGCCCUGUGACCAAAGGUUUAACGGCCGCGGUAUCCUGACCGUGCGAAGGUAGCGCAAUCACUUGUCUUUUAAAUGGAGACCUGUAUGAAUGGCAUAACGAGGGCUAAGCUGUCUCCUUUUUCCAGUCAAUGAAAUUGAUCUGCCCGUGCAGAAGCGAGCAUAAAUACAUAAGACGAGAAGACCCUAUGGAGCUUCAGACACCAGAACAGACCGCACUGAUUAAACCUUAAUUAAAAGAACAAGCCAGACACCCCCUGUUCUCCUGUCUUCGGUUGGGGCGACCGCGGGGAACAAAAAUCCCCCACGUGGAAUGGGAACAACCUCCCUAAAAAUAGGGCCACACCCCUAAUAAACAGAAAAUCUGACCAGAAAUGACCCGGCAAGGCCGAUCAACGAACCCAGUUACCCUAGGGAUAACAGCGCAAUCCUCUUUUAGAGCCCAUAUCGACAAGAGGGUUUACGACCUCGAUGUUGGAUCAGGACAUCCUAAUGGUGCAGCCGCUAUUAAGGGUUCGUUUGUUCAACGAUUAAAGUCCUACGUGAUCUGAGUUCAGACCGGAGAAAUCCAGGUCAGUUUCUAUCUAUGGAGUAUUCUUUUCUAGUACGAAAGGACCGAAGAGAAGAGGCCCCUGCCAAAGCAAGCCUCGCCCCAACCUUAGGAAAACAAAUAAAAAAGGCAAAGGGGUACAUCCUCCGUGCCUGAGAAAAAGGCAU
Molecule: ribosomal RNA, 1683 nt
Filed under: Eleotris acanthopomus (sleeper goby)
Lineage: Eukaryota; Metazoa; Chordata; Actinopteri; Gobiiformes; Eleotridae
Description: Eleotris acanthopoma (sleeper goby) 16S ribosomal RNA
Rfam family: Bacterial large subunit ribosomal RNA (bases 108-1572)
Source: RNAcentral